UGAUGCCUACGGGGGGCAGCAGUGAGGAAUAUUGGUCAAUGGGCGCAAGCCUGAACCAGCCAAGUCGCGUGAGGGAUGACGGUCCUAUGGAUUGUAAACCUCUUUUGUCGGGGAGCAAGGCCCGCCACGUGUGGCGGGAAGGAGAGUACCCGAAGAAAAAGCAUCGGCUAACUCCGUGCCAGCAGCCGCGGUAAUACGGAGGAUGCGAGCGUUAUCCGGAUUUAUUGGGUUUAAAGGGUGGGUAGGCGGAAGGUUAAGGCAGCGGGCAAAUGUCGGGGCUCAACACCGGCCGGCCGUUGAAACUG
RNAcentral lists this ribosomal RNA (305 nucleotides) under uncultured bacterium. RNAcentral's name for it is "bacterial SSU rRNA". It matches the Rfam family "Bacterial small subunit ribosomal RNA", at positions 333 to 635 of the family's 1533-position model. The record is from RNAcentral.